CCUACGGGAUGCAGCAGUAGGGAAUCUUUCACAAUGGGCGAAAGCCUGAUGGAGCAACGCCGCGUGCAGGAUGAAGGCCUUCGGGUUGUAAACUGCUUUUAUAAGCGAGAAAUAUGAUGGUAACUUAUGAAUAAGGAUCGGCUAACUACGUGCCAGCAGCCGCGGUCAUACGUAGGAUCCGAGCAUUAUCCGGAGUGACUGGGUGUAAAGAGUUGCGUAGGUGGCAUAAGAAGUAGCUAGUGAAAUCUGGUGGCUCAACCAUUCAGACUAUUAGCUAAACUGUUAAGCUCGAGACCGUUAGGGGUAACUAGAAUUUCUAGUGUAGGAGUGAAAUCCGUAGAUAUUAGAAGGAACACCAAUAGCGUAGGCAGGUUGCUGGGACGGUUCUGACACUAAGGCACGAAAGCGUAGGGAGCAAACGGGAUUAGAUACCCGGGUAGUC
Molecule: ribosomal RNA, 442 nt
Filed under: uncultured bacterium
Lineage: Bacteria
Description: partial 16S ribosomal RNA
Rfam family: Bacterial small subunit ribosomal RNA
Source: RNAcentral